UUUGCAUCUCAGAAGGGCAGAUACACUCAUGAAUCUCAACCGACUUGCAUAGGAGUAAAAAGAUUGUUCACUGACGGAGGUAAAAUGAUUCUUAAUCUUUCUACAUUCUUCCAACCCAGUUCCAGUUCUCUCUCGCCAGUUUCCAAGAAGCAUAGCGUAGAUGGUAUGCUCACAGAACUUGCCUGCUUGCUUCUUCAUAUACCUUCCGUGCAAUGUUUGAUGGUGGUAUGAUUUUCCAAUUUCUCGUUUGCAGCAUUUUCUUUUUGGUUUUCGUCGUGUAUGCACUACAAAAGUAACACAGCGGGAGUAGGUUUAGAGGGUAAAGAAAUUUCUUCAUGUAAUGAGAAGUGAGGGUUUUUGCUUAACCACUUUUAUUUACUGGUUUUUUAGUCAAGUUUAUAGCACCGAGGAUAUAGGUGAACGGUGAAGCAAUUUGGGUAACAUGUUAUGAGAAGUAUACUAAAUGGUUUUUCCUUUUUUUUUUUGUUUUGUUAGAGAUUAAAGAUGUAAGUGUACCAAAUUGGAAGCUCAAAUAUUGAACAACAUGAUUUACUUCAUUUGUUAGUUGGUAAAGACUUCGUCUCUCCUCAAAACCCAUUGUAUUC
Molecule: small RNA, 605 nt
Filed under: Malus domestica (apple)
Lineage: Eukaryota; Viridiplantae; Streptophyta; Magnoliopsida; Rosales; Rosaceae
Description: sRNA MD06G0134100
Source: RNAcentral